This 497-nucleotide ribosomal RNA is filed under the name uncultured bacterium. RNAcentral's name for it is "partial 16S ribosomal RNA". It matches the Rfam family "Bacterial small subunit ribosomal RNA", at positions 28 to 507 of the family's 1533-position model. The record is from RNAcentral.
GAUGAACGCUGGCGGCGUGCCUAAUACAUGCAAGUCGAGCGAACAGACGAGGAGCUUGCUCCUCUGACGUUAGCGGCGGACGGGUGAGUAACACGUGGAUAACCUACCUAUAAGACUGGGAUAACUUCGGGAAACCGGAGCUAAUACCGGAUAAUAUGUUGAAUCGCAUGGUUCAACAGUGAAAGACGGUCUUGCUGUCACUUAUAGAUGGAUCCGCGCCGCAUUAGCUAGUUGGUAAGGUAACGGCUUACCAAGGCAACGAUGCGUAGCCGACCUGAGAGGGUGAUCGGCCACACUGGAACGGAGACACGGUCCAGACUCCUACGGGAGGCAGCAGUAGGGAAUCUUCCGCAAUGGGCGAAAGCCUGACGGAGCAACGCCGCGUGAGUGAAGAAGGUCUUCGGAUCGUAAAACUCUGUUAUUAGGGAAGAACAAAUGUGUAAGUAACUAUGCACGUCUUGACGGUACCUAAUCAGAAAGCCACGGCUAACUACGUG